RNAcentral lists this ribosomal RNA (460 nucleotides) under uncultured bacterium. Its description in RNAcentral is "partial 16S ribosomal RNA". It matches the Rfam family "Bacterial small subunit ribosomal RNA", at positions 338 to 795 of the family's 1533-position model. The record is from RNAcentral.
CCUACGGGCGGCUGCAGUGAGGAAUAUUGGUCAAUGGACGCAAGUCUGAACCAGCCAUGCCGCGUGCAGGAAGACGGCCCUAUGAGUUGUAAACUGCUUUUGUACGAGGGUAAACGCAGAUACGUGUAUCUGUCUGAAAGUAUCGUACGAAUAAGGAUCGGCUAACUCCGUGCCAGCAGCCGCGGUAAUACGGAGGAUUCAAGCGUUAUCCGGAUUUAUUGGGUUUAAAGGGUGCGUAGGCGGUCGGAUAAGUUAGAGGUGAAAUCCCGAGGCUCAACUUCGGAAUUGCCUCUGAUACUGUUCGGCUAGAGAGUAGUGGCGGUAGGCGGAAUGUAUGGUGUAGCGGUGAAAUGCUUAGAGAUCAUACAGAACACCGAUUGCGAAGGCAGCUUACCAAGCUACUUCUGACGUUGAGGCACGAAAGCGUGGGGAGCGAACAGGAUUAGAUACCCCGGUAGUC